Melanotaenia boesemani (Boeseman's rainbowfish) is the source of this 3737-nucleotide long non-coding RNA. RefSeq lists it as uncharacterized. The record is from RefSeq and is a predicted model, not a curated record. NCBI's taxonomy places the organism in Eukaryota, Metazoa, Chordata, Actinopteri, Atheriniformes, Melanotaeniidae. The transcript is spliced from 2 exons.
AACUAUAUAUCCAGUUUGAAUAUACUAAACAAUAUACACCAGUGGGUAAUGAGAGAGAUUUUAGAGCUGACCGUUAAACAGCUGCAUAAUUUGCUUUUCUUAACCUUUUUAACCUACUGGACAAAACAACAACAAAAGCCAUCUCAUCCUUCAUUCUCUCAUAUUACCCCUCAAAGCUCAACCUUUUCCACCGAGGAUGCUGAGUAGCUGACAAAAUGGAAAACAAUGCAUGUCAUGGUGGAUGAUGGGAAUUCCCAUUGGCUGUAGUUUGUUUGUCUGUGCCUCUUAGCCUAUCAAAUCUAAUGAAAAAUAAUUCAGUUGAAGUCUUUAUUUCUACCGCAGUCCAAAGUGAAUACACACUCAGCUCUGUUCAUUAUCUGUCUCUAUUUUCCCCUUCAUCUCCUAGCUCUCUGUAUCUGUAAACUAUGCAUGCGUGUGAGAGUACAAAAGUGGGGUAUGUGUUGUAACGGCUAACGUAUCCUGGGUGUGUUGUUCAGAGCGCUGGACUCGUUAGCUUGGGUAAGAGUCUCCCUGGUGGAUGCAUUUGCAGGAGUUUUCAAGGCACACAGAUGGAUGUCUAACACUCCCUCUCAAUGCUAGAUUACAGUUUAAUUCAUUUUGAUCAGGCUUUUAAGACAUCUUUUUGGCAGCAUCUCAAUUAAUUAUCAUUGAGCUUCUGUCAAAGAAAACUUACAAGUGGGAGUAGUAUUACGUGCUCUGUUAAAUGCCAUUGACCACAUGAGCAGAGGUAGUUUUAAAUGCAGAUUUUUACAUGUUUUACCCUUUAAUUCGCACGCAAACAGUUUAAGGGUAAAAAUGUGUGCCAUUAUUUUCACGCAGUGGACCAUUCGGUUUUAAAACCAUGGCAGGUAGCCAAGAUAGUGCAGAUGCUAACCUCGCUAGAGGGUCUCUGCAAUUUAAUCUGUUCUUUUGUUUUCACAGACACAGUUUAUUGAUAUUUUUUUUGUUCCACAGAGGAACACGAUGCCACCGCAUUUUAUUAAGUAGUAAUGAUGCAACUGUUGCAUUGCACUGAAGCGGCCACAAAGUCUGUAUAUGGGGUUGAAGUUGGGUAGGGCAAUGAGGUGAUUUUUUAAAGAUGCACUACAGAACUUUGGCAGAUUUUUUCAGUAGCUACAUUUACAUGGACAAAUAUUUAAUCUAUCAGAUUGAAAUCAAUCCGAUCAAAGAUUACAGCUGACAUGUUUAUCCGAUCAGUUGUAUUUCCACGAUGGACAGAUUUAAUACGAUUUUAACCCUUUUGACAUGUGCAAUGCUUAUUAGUUCUAAAGAAGAAGUCUUUUCUUUUUUUAUAUUUUGAACCGUUUUACCUCAAAAUGCUUAAUACUUAUUAGGGCUUUCAGUUUCUUACAAAAACAUAUUUGCUACAGUCUCGAACGGUUUUGCUUCUGCCAUUUUUCAAGUUCUCCCUGAAACUCAUUACAUCAUGUACCCCACAUGUGCUUUAUGCAUGUGCAGAAACCACAGAAACUAUCGGAGUGUAUCCAUGCUAAUUUUUCUCUGCUGAUCUGAUCGUGAAAAGGAUUAAACCACCCAUCUCGAUUGAAUUGAAAACUCUUUCCGAUUAAGGCCUGUUGGAUUAACUGACGUGUUCACAGGACACAUUAUUAUUCUAAUUGGAUGUCGGAUUGGAUCAAAAAUGCUCCAUGUAAACCUAAGCCUGAAAAAGCUCUUUUCAGCAUCCAUCUUGCAUCCUACCUGUACUCUGAGCUCUCUCCAGCCAUUAAAAGUCAGUGUCUCGUCAUAUCUCUUGCUCUGUCCCUUUCUCUCUUACUCUUUCUCUCUUCUUACAAUAACGUCUUCUUAUGCUUAAUCAGCUACAGUGUGCAUUCAAAGCGAUCAAUGUGUUUAUAUUCGAUUGCUGAUGUGUGACGUGGUGUGUAGAGUGAAACUCAGCUGCAACAUCACACGCCGUCCCAGAAGACAAAGCUGUGAAGUGACUCAGCCUCAGGAGAAAUACAGAAAUGUACAUAAUAGAUGUCACUGAACCAUCAAACAAGUUAGCAAUGCAGAGUUUUCAAGUCAGAAAGUUACAUAAUCUGUAAUGAAAGUACUUUAAAAUGUCAUUUUAGUGGCCUGUUGAUACGUUGUUCGUGGUUUCAGUUACUUUUCUUUGACAUUACAAAUGACUUGGUUAUGGUUACACUUUACAAAAACUCUGGUUAAGAUUAGGUUUUGAAAAGUAUUUGGUUAACAUCAUGGCUUACAUUAAAACAGGCACAUUCACUGAUGACAUGUAGCUUCAGAACGUCCUCCUCCUGGAUACCUGGCUGCCAUGUCCCACCUCUUCUGUAAAAGAUGCUAAAUGUGUUGGAUGCACAACUCAGAUGUGCUACUGAAAUCUAUUAAAUAUAGUGAGACAAAAAAUACACGUUUUUGUUUUUAUCGGCAAAACCACACAGUUUUCUAACUGGUUUGACUUUUUCUAAAAGACUAGGCUUGAAUAUUUGUAUGUAGAAGACAUCACUGAUUCACCCACACAUUGAAGGACAGAUCCAUCCCUCAAGCAUGGACGGCCUAAACGCUCUUUAAGUUAAAGCCACUUUUUUUUUUUUGGUCCACAUGCAACAUAACUUAUUACUGAUUAAACUCAAGUAGCUCAGAUGGCCCGAACCAUCCAGACAUCACCAACUUCUCCCAGUAUGUUAGCCUCAUAUGCGUUUCCCUGGUAACUAAGAUUUACAGAAAGUUGGAAGAUUUCCACUGUGAGCAUUUGCUCACAGCUUGAACUCACCAUUAGAAAUCUAUGUGGAAAUUUUGUGGACAGCAACCAUGUAUGUUUGGGAAAUACGUGAUCAUCUGACUGAAAUCAGAAACUAACAGCUGACAUACAUUUAGUUUAGCAUUUGUGGUCAGACCUAAAGACGUAUUGUGAAUUUGCUGCAGAUACCCCACUGUUUUAACCGUCUGCCCAAAGUUAUGCACAAUAAUGCAUUUAUCCAUGUUUGUGAAUGUGUGUUGCAUAAGGACACAUGGUUGAGACCCCUACUGUUCCUCCCUUCCACCUCCUACACGCAAUCUGUCAAUCCUUCCUGCUAAUACUGAAACUAUCCCCUGUGCAUUCACACACACUUCUACACACUCAUCCGAAGUGAACAUGACAAAGGUAGAUUCUCAGUGGCCACAUAAGGGUUCAUUGAGGUCCUCUGGGAGGCUUAUGAUGUAACACACUGCAAGUUCUUAUCAGUCAUCCAGAACAGAGAGGCCGAAACGGCCUCCAGCUGCCACUGUCACUGUAACUAAAUUGAAUGUUUAACUGUCUUUACUCCAGUUCUCGGUAGUGUCUCUUGCUCUCUUUCUCUUCAUCUCCUUCCUUGAUAGCUAAGAUCUGAACUCUUCAGAUCUCCACAUAACUCACCACUGGGGUAUUUUCUAUGAGGCUAUUUUGUUCAAAGAAUAGCAUUGUGACAGUCAUCACCUGCUUCAUCUUCUUUUAUAACCCAAUCUUUUGCUCUUCUCUUCCCUCCCAAGAAGCCCUGCAGUCACUGUGCUCUUGUUUAUCUUCUUUCUCUCCCCCCAUUUAACGCUCUCUUUCUUUAAUUUAUUGUGACUUAAUUUCUAUGGUUGUUUCACCUCUGUCGCUGCAGAUGAAGUUUUCUUUUCUGUCUUCUUUUGUUUGUAAAAUGUAUCCUUCUUUUCUUUACUUUAUUCACUGCUAAUGUAACAAAACGCACUGUGAUGAUUCCAGUAUUAAUAAAAGUUGUACUUAAACUGUG